AGAAGGAACAAAUGGAGGAAAAGUUGGCUGUAGGAGCUGGUGUUUUGCUGCUGCCUUCAGCUUCAUAAUGAAACGAUGAAUGACACUUACCUGUGGUCGGACUGUGUGAUCCGGUAAGUACUUCUGUAGCUCUGUGUCCAGUUCGGUAACAGCGUAUGAACUUCGUUCAAGGUCAUAAUGGUUUUACAGUACCGGUGAUCUAGGUCCAUUAGCAUUUCCAGUAGUAAUAGCCCAUUAGCGCUGCUUGUCUUUGACGUUUCUCCCAGUGUCUGUAGCGCUGUGUCUGGUUCGGCAUCAGCUGUGCUGCUUAGAGUUCGGUGCGGUGGUAACAGCCACACUGAACUUAAUUACCACCGACACCGGACCGCCAUGGACCUGGUCGAUUGGUGACGUCAAUACCGCAGGCGGUAUAGGUCCUGUUAGCAUCUCAAAGAGCAUCCAGCUCUGCCUGUCUCAGCGGCAGCACGGCAUUUAUUUUUAGCUCGUUAAGGUAGCCAUCACCUUAACGCUACCUUAACGUUGGCUGUUAGAGCCUUCGUUGGCUCUGCUGGUAUAAAUGGCUCAAAGUGUUGUGGAGAAAUGUCCAGGGUCCAGAUUAGGUACUUCGUUGUGUUCCGCUCCGGCUCUCGCACUGCGCUCUCCUUUCUUUCAUGUCGGAAAUUAUCCAGAUUUUUUUUCUCAAUUCUUAUUUUUUAUCACGGCCGAUAGUGACACAGUGUGCCAUUAUCUAAAAUGACACCAGUCAAACGCAAUAUCAUAAACAGCUACUGGGGUAAAGGUAGCUUUCCUGUGUUUACUCUGUAGACUCCGGUACAGAAUGGACCAUUAUGCGUUAUCAACCCAGCGGUGAAAAAAUGGUGACCUCCACGGGUGAAAAAUAUAACAAAAGACUACAUUUUUGAAGUAAUUUUGAGUUUUGGCAUAUCAAAAAGCUGCGACAGAACCUGAGCAGGAAACCUAGACCAGGUGACUAAUGGACACAGAAGGAAAUAAACAGGAAGCAAAAUGGUCUUCUAAACGCU
This is a long non-coding RNA of Poecilia latipinna (sailfin molly), 1022 nucleotides long. RefSeq lists it as uncharacterized. NCBI's taxonomy places the organism in Eukaryota, Metazoa, Chordata, Actinopteri, Cyprinodontiformes, Poeciliidae. The record is from RefSeq and is a predicted model, not a curated record. The transcript is spliced from 4 exons.